RNAcentral lists this transfer RNA (74 nucleotides) under Spirulina sp. SIO3F2. RNAcentral's name for it is "tRNA-Gln". It matches the Rfam family "tRNA". Rfam says of the family: Transfer RNA (tRNA) molecules are approximately 80 nucleotides in length. Their secondary structure includes four short double-helical elements and three loops (D, anti-codon, and T loops). Lineage: Bacteria; Bacillati; Cyanobacteriota; Cyanophyceae; Spirulinales; Spirulinaceae. The record is from RNAcentral.
UGGGAAGUACGCAAACUGGCAAAGCGGCUUGACUCUGAAUCAAGUGCCUGGGGGUUCGAAGCCCUCCUUCCCAG